Molecule: long non-coding RNA, 1065 nt
Filed under: Homo sapiens (human)
Lineage: Eukaryota; Metazoa; Chordata; Mammalia; Primates; Hominidae
Description: HSALNT0186331
Source: RNAcentral
AAGGUGUUUAUUAUAGCAUUAUUAUAAUAAAUGCUCAAAUGACCUAAAUAUCCCAUUGUAAAAGAUUACGACAUAUUCAGGUGGCAAACUGCUAUUAAGCCAUUGAUAAAUGUUAAUUUUACUGAAACAGAAAACGAUUAUGCAUAGCAAAACCUUGUGUGGGCUUUUCAUCAUUUGCACUCCUCCACGAUUCUUUGCCCUUCUCUGUGUUCUGAGAGGCUAACCCUGCACCUGGGCUCCCAUCAAGGCUGGCUUCCAGCUAGGUUCUGCCAAUAAGAAGACCAAUAGGAGACUAAAAUGAGAGGAGGGAAAGAGAGUUGGAGGUCAGGUUAUUUCUUUCCAGUCUUGCCCUGUGGCUGUGGCAGUCGUUGCAUCCCUCCUAGACUACAGUUCCCGGUGUGAAGCUCCUCCUCCAGUAUUCCAGCUUUCACUGGGCUUCAGUGACAUUAUUUUUUGCCAGAUCCUCUUAGACUAGGGAGGUAAUAGGCUGCCAUCUCAGUUUCCUCAUGACCCCAACCCCCCUGCUGGCUCUGGCAGCCCUAUCCACACUUCAGCAAAUCAUCCCUUCAUUGAGGUCUUCUCAAUUGAACCGUCUGAUUGGAAUUCUGUUGCUGACAGAGACCCUAACUGAGAGGCGGGGAAUAGGGGUAGACCCUUAUCCUGUCUGACUGGCACCCUUAUAACAGGAUAUCUGAACACACAAGAGAGACCAGGGAUAUUCACACACAGAGGAAAGACCGUGUGAGAACAUGGUGAGAAGGCAGCCAUCUGCAAGCCAAAGAGAGAGGCCUCAGGAGAAACCAAUGCUGCCAACGCCUUGACCUUGGCCUUCCAGCCUCCAGAACUGUGAGAAAAUAAAUUUCUGUUGCGUAAGCCCCCCAGUCUGUAGUAUUUUGUUACGGCAACCCACACUGACUAAUACAUAAACCAUCAAGUAAAAGGAGUGAUCUGGAAGCAAGGCCCUAAUACUAGGUUGAAGUUGACAACAACAAGAGCUGGUGUAGAACAGACAGCAAGGAAUGAAGUCAAGAUACAGGAGAAAAGACUCUGGUUGCAGAGUCAAAC